RNAcentral lists this ribosomal RNA (158 nucleotides) under uncultured bacterium. RNAcentral describes it as "partial 16S ribosomal RNA". It matches the Rfam family "Bacterial small subunit ribosomal RNA", at positions 355 to 509 of the family's 1533-position model. The record is from RNAcentral.
UGAGGAAUAUUGGUCAAUGGGUGGGAGCCUGAACCAGCCAAGUCGCGUGAGGGAAGACGGUCCUAUGGAUUGUAAACCUCUUUUGUCGGGGAGCAAAGAGGCCACGUGUGGUCAAAAGCGAGAGUACCCGAAGAAAAAGCAUCGGCUAACUCCGUGCC